CCGAAAGAGCUAGAAGUAUCCAAAGAACCAGAUCUUAGAAGUCAAGGUUUAUGUUUAGUACCAGUUUCGAGCACAUUUCCAGUGACACACGAUACUACAGUAGAUUUCUGGACUCCUACCUUUGGUGGGACUUUUAGAUAGAUCGAUAUAUAGAUGAAAAGGUUGCAUUAGAUCUUGGUCGACAUAUUUUAACCUAUAUACAUGAAAAUUUGUUGAUAAGAAAAUCACCGCAUUUUAAACGAAGAAGCAAAAUAAGUCAAUGGACAAGUGAAACGUGUUUGUCCAGUUAUUUAUAUUUUGAUUUACAACUAAUCUUCAAAUUAAUGUGUAACUGAAGAAUUAUAUAGAGGAUAUAUAUAAGAGUUACUGAAAUUUGAGAGGUAUGUUUUUUUUUCUUUUCACACGAUAACGUCUCUAAACACAUUUCGAAACACAUCUAGAGGAGUCUUCUUUUAUUGCUGUUAUACGAAAAUAUAAAUGAUAGAUAUUAAGUUUCUCGUUAUAGCAGAAUGUAUGGAUCUAUAUAGCUCAAGUAGACUUCAUUGCUUCAGAGAAGGAGAAAGAGCCAUUUAAUUAUGGCGGAAAGGAGCUUUUGUUUCUUCCUUUUUUAGUAUUUUAUUUAUUGGAAAGGAAUAUUAGAUUCCAUGAUUAAAAGAGAAUAAUUGCUGAUAUGCAUAUUUUGAUUGGUCAAGGGAGAAAAUAAAUCUUUAAGUAAGAUAUUUAUAACUUUAGAAUAAUGUUAGUGGAAGUAAGAUGAUGGGCCAACGCCGGUUUUCAUUUCUAUUUCUAUCAAUAAGUUAAAUUUUUUUUUUUUUUGUAAACUUUUGGUGUAAAACUUUCCAUGGUUUCAUCCCAAAACAAACGAAAAACGAAUCUUUUUACUCUUUAUUUAAGCGAAUAAAUUAGUAUCAUUUGUAUAAUUACAAGUUUUAAGACAUUCCAAUUUCAUGCUAAGUUGUAUUUUUUUCGGUAUUAACAAUUCAUUCUUCCAUAAGUUCCUCCAUAAGUUCUUGCAUGAUUCUUAUGUUUUUUCUCCUGAAUUUUUAAUAGAAAUAUUAAUUUUUUUCUGAAAUUAGGUGAAGAAGGAGAAAAUGAGUGACAGAAUCGCUGCUCUCCAACAAUUGGUUUCACCUUUCGGAAAGGUACUAUCUCUUUUUAGCUUUCAGAAAGAUGAUGAGUGUAUAUUAGUAUAUUUGUCUACUGUCAUUAUUACUUAUCAUAUUAUUAUAUCUUUAUUUAUUUAUUUUAUUUAUUUUUAUUUAUUUAUACAUGUAAAGUCUAUUCUAUAGAUAAUUUUUUUGGGGAUAAAUGAUUCAAAUACAACUCUAAGACCAUGAUUAAACCCCAGUCUCUUAACUAGAGUUUUUUAGUUUUGGCUAAGAGACGGUUUUUAUCUUUUCUUAGAUUUUAAUUAAAAAAACUAAGAAUCGUCUCUUAAAUAAGAGAUAUAAGAGCCGUCUCUUAGCCGAAAAAUGUAAAAAACAAACAAAAACAAAAAAAGUGUCAAAUCAUGAGUUAAAAACCUCUUCUAAGUGACUGUGGUUAAUCAUGCCCUUAGAUUUUGUUUCACUGAACCUCAUGUGGUUUUGUGUCAGACUGAUCAAGCCUCAGUGCUCUCUGAAGCCAUUGAAUACAUUAAGUUCUUACACCAACAAGUUUCAGUAAGUUAGCCCAUCCUUUAUUUCUAGUAAAUUACUUUUUUUGUUGCUACAUCUCUAAUAGUAGUUAUUGUAUUUCUACUGAUCGAUGUACAAACCUGCAAAUGAUUGUAAUUCAGGCUCUGAGUAACCCAUACAUGAAUAGUGGAGCUUCUUUACAGCAUCAACAGGUAAAAUUAUUAUACGACUGAAAUACCGUGCGGCUCGUAUUCUUUAUUACAUGUAUAUAUAUAUAUAUUUAUUUAAUGGUUGCUUCAUCUUCAAGAUUUGACAAAGCAUUAUUCCAAGAAACAAUGUAGCGAGACGGUGUGCAGUUAUCAAAAAACUAUAUUUAUGUUUUGUCUUUUUACAAUGAUGCAGAGUGAUCAUCCGAAAGAGCUAGAAGUAUCCAAAGAACCAGAUCUUAGAAGUCAAGGUUUAUGUUUAGUACCAGUUUCGAGCACAUUUCCAGUGACACACGAUACUACAGUAGAUUUCUGGACUCCUACCUUUGGUGGGACUUUUAGAUAGAUCGAUAUAUAGAUGAAAAGGUUGCAUUAGAUCUUGGUCGACAUAUUUUAACCUAUAUACAUGAAAAUUUGUUGAUAAGAAAAUCACCGCAU
Molecule: long non-coding RNA, 2260 nt
Filed under: Brassica napus (rape)
Lineage: Eukaryota; Viridiplantae; Streptophyta; Magnoliopsida; Brassicales; Brassicaceae
Description: long non-coding RNA (BNAP_LNC000737)
Source: RNAcentral